GUACACGCUGUGACUAGCAUAUCAAUAAGCGGAGGAAAAGAAACUAACAAGGAUUCCCCUAGUAACGGCGAGUGAAGCGGGAAGAGCUCAAAUUUGAAAUCUUAAAGGGUUUCCCUUUACGAAUUGUAGUUUAAAGAAGUGUUUUCUGUUGAGGUUUUGGUAAAAGUUCUUUGGAAUAGGACAUCAUAGAGGGUGAGAAUCCCGUAUUUGACCUUUACUUUCAACUUUGUGAUACACUUUCAAAGAGUCGGAUUGUUUGGGAAUGCAGUCCAAAAUGGGUGGUAAAUUUCAUCUAAAGCUAAAUAUUGGCGAGAGACCGAUAGCGAACAAGUACCGUGAGGGAAAGAUGGAAAGAACUUUGAAAAGAGAGUUAAACAGUACGUGAAAUUGCCAAAAGGGAAGCGUUUGACACCAGUGUUGUUUUUCUGAAAAUCAAUUAAAGAACUGUCUAUGCUAAGCUGUUUAGACUUUAUCAGCUAUCUGUUUAGUUUUGAGCUUUUCUUUAAUGCACUUUUCAGUUAACAAGUCAACAUCAAUUUCUUUUGCUGUAAAAAAGCUUGAGGAAGAUGGCUUGAGAUUCGUCUUAAGUGUUUAUAGCCUCUUGCCUAUGCAGUCGGAGAGAUUGAGGUCUGCAGCGUAGAUCCUUCGGGGCUAAAUGCAUUUGUGCUAAGUUAUAGCAUUUUUAUAGGACAACUUGUUGACUAUAAUUAGUCUUGUAGCUUACUCGCUUAUGUUAUUUUACCUACGCUUAGGAUGUUGAGCGCAUGUCUCUCUCU
Molecule: ribosomal RNA, 776 nt
Filed under: uncultured Neocallimastigales
Lineage: Eukaryota; Fungi; Neocallimastigomycota; Neocallimastigomycetes; Neocallimastigales
Description: partial large subunit ribosomal RNA
Rfam family: Eukaryotic large subunit ribosomal RNA
Source: RNAcentral